UACAGAGGGGGCAAGCGUUGUUCGGAAUUACUGGGCGUAAAGGGCGCGUAGGCGGCCUUCUAAGUCGAACGUGAAAUCCCCGGGCUCAACCCGGGAACUGCGUCCGAUACUGGAAGGCUUGAAUCCGGGAGAGGGAUGCGGAAUUCCAGGUGUAGCGGUGAAAUGCGUAGAUAUCAGGAGGAACACCGGUGGCGAAGGCGGGACUCUGGGCCGAUACUGACGCUGAGGAGCGAAAGCGUGGGGAGCAAACAGG
This 253-nucleotide ribosomal RNA is filed under the name uncultured bacterium. RNAcentral describes it as "partial 16S ribosomal RNA". It matches the Rfam family "Bacterial small subunit ribosomal RNA", at positions 524 to 776 of the family's 1533-position model. The record is from RNAcentral.